This 323-nucleotide unclassified non-coding RNA is filed under the name soil metagenome. Its description in RNAcentral is "partial contains 5.8S ribosomal RNA, internal transcribed spacer 2, and large subunit ribosomal RNA". The stretch from base 1 to 120 matches the Rfam family "5.8S ribosomal RNA", at positions 35 to 154 of the family's 154-position model. The record is from RNAcentral.
GAUGAAGAACGCAGCGAAAUGUGAUAAGUAAUGCGAAUUGCAGAAUUCAGUGAGUCAUCGAAUCUUUGAACGCACAUUGCGCCCUGUGGUAUUCCGCAGGGCAUGCCUGUUCGAGCGUCAUUUCAACCCUCAAGCUCUGCUUGGUGUUGGGCCCUGCCCGCUGCGGCCGGCCCUAAAGACAGUGGCGGUGCCGCCUGGCCCUGAGCGUAGUACAUCUCUCGCUCCAGUGCCCGGUGGUAGCCUGCCAGAACCCCAACUCUCGUGGUUGACCUCGGAUCAGGCAGGGAUACCCGCUGAACUUAAGCAUAUCAAUAAGCGGAGGA